RNAcentral lists this transfer RNA (69 nucleotides) under Koreocobitis naktongensis (Nakdong nose loach). RNAcentral describes it as "tRNA-Trp". It matches the Rfam family "tRNA". Rfam says of the family: Transfer RNA (tRNA) molecules are approximately 80 nucleotides in length. Their secondary structure includes four short double-helical elements and three loops (D, anti-codon, and T loops). The record is from RNAcentral. Lineage: Eukaryota; Metazoa; Chordata; Actinopteri; Cypriniformes; Cobitidae.
GGGGCUUAGGAUAAUGUAGACCAAGGACCUUCAAAGCCCUAAGUAGGAGUUAAAAUCUCCUAGCCCCUG